AUUGCAAACCGCUCUGCCGCCUUUUCCUGCGGGAAUGGGAGGAAAGUCCGGACAACACAGAGCACCGCACCACCUAAGCGGUGGGACUCCGGCAACUGCCGGGGUACAGAAAGGGUCACAGAAAACAACCGCCCCGGCCCCGGUCGGGGCAAGGGUGAAAACGUGCGGUAAGAGCGCACGGCUUUCCGGUGCAAACCGGGACGCGGAUAAACCUUGCGGGUUGAAAUGCCAUGUACACCUUGCGUCCCUUCGGGGAGAUGUGUGGCUCGCGCAUCGGCCUUCGGGCCGGCAAGGGGGGUAGGCAGCGCAGAGUCCGGUUGCGAAAUCGGACCCAGAUAAAUGGCAGAGGCCACGCGCUCUUUUCGGAGGGUUCGGGGUACAGAAUCCGGCUUACAGGUUUGCAAUGUUU
RNAcentral lists this RNase P RNA (409 nucleotides) under Saprospiraceae bacterium. RNAcentral describes it as "RNase P RNA component class A". It matches the Rfam family "Bacterial RNase P class A". Rfam says of the family: Ribonuclease P (RNase P) is a ubiquitous endoribonuclease, found in archaea, bacteria and eukarya as well as chloroplasts and mitochondria. Its best characterised activity is the generation of mature 5'-ends of tRNAs by cleaving the 5'-leader elements of precursor-tRNAs. The record is from RNAcentral. Lineage: Bacteria; Pseudomonadati; Bacteroidota; Saprospiria; Saprospirales; Saprospiraceae.